ACAUUAAGCAGAGGCCUUUUACAAGGUAGAUAUGAUUUAUUUUGAUCCCAUUUUGGACAAUGUAAAGCACAUGUGAAACAUAUGAUAUUGCCUGCUGCAGAAAGUUUUAUAUUCCAACUGUCAGGUUUCAUUGGACAUGUUUAAGUUUUGUGGUUUGUUCAAUUCCUGUGAUAUGAUAAAUAAGGCCACUUCAUUGAAUGUAUGAUAUGAUUAUAAGAUCACUGUGUACAUUUGGUGUAUGGAAUACUGUUUAAGAAAUAAUUCUAUCCUGACAUGCUCUAUGCUCAUUUUAACAUGGGUAGGCAUUAUAUUUGUUAAUAUCUUAAUACCGAGCGUUUGCGAGGUAUUAAAUGUUUACAAAUAUAAUGCCUACCCAUGUUAAAAUGAGCAUAGAGCAUGGCAGGAUAGAAUUAUUUCGAUUCUAAUAGGAAUAUUUGAACUUUUUCACUUCGAAGCUGACCUAUAGUAAACGCUCGGAAUGUCGCCAUUUUGAUUUCAUAAACUAAAAACGUUAUAGAAAAUCAGCAAUUUAUCAAUAAAAAAAGAACAGAAACAUUUAAACUUACUUUUAGAAUGUUUUUAUUUAAUUUCCUAGCGAGCAACACCAACAAAAAUGUCCAUUUUGAUCUCUGGCGUUGUUCAAAAUUCAUCUGACGUUGCAAUUUCAAUUGUGACGUCAAUCACGUGCAGCCCAUGUUCUAUUUGAAUUAGAACAUGGCUUUGUACCCAAAGCUUAAGAAGAACGUCAUAUUAGAAUUGGUUACAUGUCUGUCUGGCAGGUAACAUAUAACCUUGACCUCAUUUUCAUGGUUCAUUGGUCAACGUUAAUAUUUUGUGAUUUGAUUUGUUUCUCAGGUACAAUUAAUGAUAGGACCAUUUAUAUUUUUGGUGUAUAGAAUGAGUAUAAGGUAUACAUGCCUUUCCAUAACUCUUGUGAAUAGUUUUUUUUAAGGAUUUAAAACUUAUGAUAAAUUUUUCUUUUAUUUCAGCAAAAAUUAAAGGAAUUCGAACUUCUAGAUAAAGAAUUAAACCAAAAAGCAAAGGAAGCAGCUGAAAACAGUAGUUCAUCUUUGAUAUGGACAGCUCUAGGUAUUUCUGUGGUUGUAAUAGCUGGUAGUUUGUUCUUUGCCAAGAAAUAUAAUAAACUGCCUGAUUUGUUGAAUAUUAAACUACCAACAUCUUGGUCAUCUUAAUAGACCUUUGAUUGUAUCAACAGUAUCUAACUUAAUGGUUGUUAAUUCAGAGUAACAUUUCAAAAGUUUAAUGAAGUUAGUUUGGAUGGAACUGAAGUCUUUAAAGAAACAAUUUACCUGAUGAAUAUUCAGUGAAUAGUGAUGAGUUAUAAAAUAACUACACUUAUACUGUAGAUGGAGUAGAGUUGUAGUUUUAAGUUUUCUGAUGAAAGAGAGGGAAAGUGAAAAAAUAGAUCUCAUUAAUAUACAAAUUCAAUUCACAAGAUCAAAUUCAUUCUAAUUCUUCUUAUUUAGAUAUUUUUAAAAGCAUUUUAUUUUAGAUUAUCUGAUUAUAUACCAUCCAUGAGUAUCCACUGCCACACAGCAAUUGCAUAUUUAAAAGUUUAUAUUCUUAAGAUUUUUAUUUAAAAGAAAUGAUUAGCAUGUUCAAAUAUCAUAAUGUAAAAAGGUUAGAUAGUUCAUAGGGUUUUCUUUAAAUCUUCUUCAAUAUCAUUUACUUGUAUGACUAAAGUAAGAGUUUUUGCAGAAUAUUUAAGCAUAUACAUUUUUUCAAAUGGAAAGUUAAUUUGUAUAUAUGUUAUGGAAUGCAUUGAUUACUGUGAUCUCUGUCUUUAUUAUGCUCAAAGCAUUUAUUUUUUAUGCAGAUGCAGAUUGAUUUUUUAAAGUCUCAAGACUUUUAUUAUUUUAGGUUUCUGUGAUUUGACAAUAGAGAUUUGGUUAUUUUAAGAGGUCAUUACUUUAAUUAUAAUGUAUUGAAAGAUAGGUUGUUGUUGAGAGUUCUAAUACAAGAACAUUAACGUUUGGGCAUGGGAUUGGAAGGCACUCUUUGUUUCACCCAUACAAUUGCAUUUUACUUUGCAUACAUACACUCACAAUUUGAACUUAAAAGACCUCACAAUUUGAACUAAGUGACCUGCCUGAACCCAUUCAAAAAAAAGUUAAGUGCCUUCCAACUCCCCCAUAUUUUUUUUAAUAACCUUUCAAAGGUUUUAUAAAAUUUCUAAUAACUGUGGUAAUCUAUCAAGUGCUUAAAUUGUUAUAUAUAUAAUACAUAUAAUCAUUAUUAUCAAUUGAGUAUAGGGUUUACUUCUUCAACCUGAAUUACAAAAAUGUAAAUACAAUAUAGAUUUUACAAAAUACAGUACUAAAUGAUAAAAUCAUUUUAAACAAGUCAGCACAAUUUUGCUUUAAUUUUAUAUAAUUGGUACUUUCUCCUAUACAUAUCCUUGUUUUUGCUUAAUAUAUAUUUAAACAUUGCAUUAAUUCAUUUGAACUUCAUUUGCUCUAUUUGAUAAUCUGGUAAUGCUCCUACAUUUAUUUUUAUGUAUUUGUUGUUAAUCCAUAUUUUUCAUAAAUAUAUAUAUUGCUGGUUACAGUAGACAUCUUUCAGUUUUAAUAGUUUGAAAAAAGAUGGUUUAAAUAUUUCUAGAGUAUUAAACAGAAUUUUGAAUUUCUCCUUUGAUUAUUUUUCUUUUUUUGCUUAAGGUAACAUUUUUAUAAGAUAACGACAAUGAAAAAAGAGACAAUUGAAAUUUUAGAACAUUGAGUCAAAUUUUACAGUGAGUUCAUAAUGCUAAUUAAUGAACAAUUACAAUGUAUAAGCUAAUAUAAAUAUCAUUUUUUUUCUACUGAUAAAAAGUAUAAGAAGUUGACUAUAGAUUGCAUAUUUAUUACAGCAAUGAUCAAUAUUUUUCAUAUGACAAAUUUUGAACCCUUCAUUUAGAGUUUAUUGAUAAAUUUGUACAUCCACAAAGUAAUGGUUCAAGUCACAUCAAUAUUCCAUGACAUUCAUCAUGUUUUCCUCCCCAUGUGUUUUAUGUCUUGGUACAUAUGUUAUUAAAUAGAAAUAAGAAUAGUAACUUUCAUUUAAUUUAUCAUUAGUACUUUUAAUUUUUUUGAAAUGGAAGUAAUUUUGUAGACAUGGUGAUAAGAAAAAAAGCUGCAAAAAUAGCUUUAGCCAGAAAGUGUAAAAUAUAAUACCUGCAAAAAUUGAUAUUGUUUUUUUCAAAAUUAGAAUAAAUUCACAGUUUUAAAAUUGGGGGAAUAUUUAAGCAAUUUGACCAUACUUUUUACAUCUCAGAUAGGUACUUAAUAUCAUUAGUAUAAUAGCAAUGCAUUGUAAUAUAGAUUUAAUGUAUAAUCAGGGCAGAUUAAUGAGUAGUAGUUCUGGGAUGUCAGCAAGUGGCAUUUUUCACUACUGUACUAUGUAAUCGAUAUUAAUUUAUACAUUUUUACUCAAAGGUUUGCAAUAGUAAACUUCAGUUUCUUUUUGAAAAUUUCUAAUAUAAGGACUGACUAUACUUAGUUGUUAUAUUCUGUUCAGUUUUGUUUGUUAUGCAAUAUUUUUGUUCUCCAGGGAUCAUAUCGUUAUGUUUUACCUGUAUUUGUCUCAUGGUUGUUCUGUUUAAAUAUAUUGUACGAUAAAGAUAAGCACUAACCAAUUCCAUUACACCUUCCCUUUAAUAUGAGUCAAUCAUAGUUUCACAAAAGUUCAUUCAGUUUUUAUCAGUCCUGUAGUUUUAAGUUUAUUUAGCUUCAUAGUUAAAGGUGUUUUUAUUUGUGGUUUGGGGAAAGGUUUAAUUCCAAAUCUGUUUAUUGUCAUUAUUUUUACACUUUCAUUUUCAUUGCUAUGGAAUUUAUAUGUAUUGUUGACUACUCAAGUUAAACUUGUGUUUUUCUUCAAUUUCGAUAUGGGAUAUCAAUAUUCCUUCAUUGAUAAGAAAGACACAAUACUUGUAUAUUCCCUUAGUAGAUAUGAUACAGUGACAGACCAGAGAUAAGGUGAAUGUAAUUAUCAUUCAAUGUAUUGAUGUAAAAUAUGACCUGACUCAUAGAAAAGUAGAUAAUUUAUACUAUCUGAGUACUAAAAUUCAUUUUGAUUUUGCAUUUAUAAUUUUUUUGCAAGGAACAAUUGUUAAUUCUUCUUUAUUUACAAUGUAUUUAUCUGGAACAACUUUCAUGAAUGAUAAUAAAGUUAUAAC
Molecule: long non-coding RNA, 4174 nt
Filed under: Mytilus galloprovincialis (Mediterranean mussel)
Lineage: Eukaryota; Metazoa; Mollusca; Bivalvia; Mytilida; Mytilidae
Source: RNAcentral